UGGGGAAUUUUGGACAACGGGCGAAAGCCUGAUCCAGCCAUGCCGCGUGCAGGAUGAAGGCCUUCGGGUUGUAAACNGCUUUUGUACGGAACGAAAAGACUCUGGUUAAUACCUGGGGUCCAUGACGGUACCGUAAGAAUAAGCACCGGCUAACUACGUGCCAGCAGCCGCGGUAAUACGUAGGGUGCAAGCGUUAAUCGGAAUUACUGGGCGUAAAGCGUGCGCAGGCGGUUAUAUAAGACAGAUGUGAAAUCCCCGGGCUCAACCUGGGAACUGCAUUUGUGACUGUAUAGCUAGAGUACGGCAGAGGGGGAUGGAAUUCCGCGUGUAGCAGUGAAAUGCGUAGAUAUGCGGAGGAACACCGAUGGCGAAGGCAAUCCCCUGGGCCUGUACUGACGCUCAUGCACGAAAAGCGUGGGGAGCAAACAGGAUU
This 433-nucleotide ribosomal RNA is filed under the name uncultured bacterium. RNAcentral describes it as "partial 16S ribosomal RNA". It matches the Rfam family "Bacterial small subunit ribosomal RNA", at positions 355 to 779 of the family's 1533-position model. The record is from RNAcentral.